CCUACGGGUGGCAGCAGUGGGGAAUAUUGGACAAUGGGGGCAACCCUGAUCCAGCCAUGCCGCGUGUGUGAAGAAGGCCCUCGGGUUGUAAAGCACUUUCAGUGAGGAAGAACGCCUGGUGGUUAAUACCCAUCAGGAAAGACAUCACUCACAGAAGAAGCACCGGCUAACUCCGUGCCAGCAGCCGCGGUAAUACGGAGGGUGCGAGCGUUAAUCGGAAUUACUGGGCGUAAAGCGCGCGUAGGUGGCUUGAUAAGCCGGUUGUGAAAGCCCCGGGCUCAACCUGGGAACGGCAUCCGGAACUGUCAAGCUAGAGUGCAGGAGAAGAAGGUAGAAUUCCCGGUGUAGCGGUGAAAUGCGUAGAGAUCGGGAGGAAUACCAGUGGCGAAGGCGGCCUUCUGGACUGACACUGACACUGAGGUGCGAAAGCGUGGGUAGCAAACAGGAUUAGAUACCCUUGUAGUC
This 465-nucleotide ribosomal RNA is filed under the name Vreelandella stevensii. RNAcentral describes it as "partial 16S ribosomal RNA". It matches the Rfam family "Bacterial small subunit ribosomal RNA", at positions 338 to 795 of the family's 1533-position model. The record is from RNAcentral. Lineage: Bacteria; Pseudomonadati; Pseudomonadota; Gammaproteobacteria; Oceanospirillales; Halomonadaceae.